This 1528-nucleotide ribosomal RNA is filed under the name Streptococcus thermophilus. Its description in RNAcentral is "bacterial SSU rRNA". It matches the Rfam family "Bacterial small subunit ribosomal RNA". RNAcentral also lists the same sequence under 8 other names. The record is from RNAcentral. Lineage: Bacteria; Bacillati; Bacillota; Bacilli; Lactobacillales; Streptococcaceae.
AGAGUUUGAUCCUGGCUCAGGACGAACGCUGGCGGCGUGCCUAAUACAUGCAAGUAGAACGCUGAAGAGAGGAGCUUGCUCUUCUUGGAUGAGUUGCGAACGGGUGAGUAACGCGUAGGUAACCUGCCUUGUAGCGGGGGAUAACUAUUGGAAACGAUAGCUAAUACCGCAUAACAAUGGAUGACACAUGUCAUUUAUUUGAAAGGGGCAAUUGCUCCACUACAAGAUGGACCUGCGUUGUAUUAGCUAGUAGGUGAGGUAAUGGCUCACCUAGGCGACGAUACAUAGCCGACCUGAGAGGGUGAUCGGCCACACUGGGACUGAGACACGGCCCAGACUCCUACGGGAGGCAGCAGUAGGGAAUCUUCGGCAAUGGGGGCAACCCUGACCGAGCAACGCCGCGUGAGUGAAGAAGGUUUUCGGAUCGUAAAGCUCUGUUGUAAGUCAAGAACGGGUGUGAGAGUGGAAAGUUCACACUGUGACGGUAGCUUACCAGAAAGGGACGGCUAACUACGUGCCAGCAGCCGCGGUAAUACGUAGGUCCCGAGCGUUGUCCGGAUUUAUUGGGCGUAAAGCGAGCGCAGGCGGUUUGAUAAGUCUGAAGUUAAAGGCUGUGGCUCAACCAUAGUUCGCUUUGGAAACUGUCAAACUUGAGUGCAGAAGGGGAGAGUGGAAUUCCAUGUGUAGCGGUGAAAUGCGUAGAUAUAUGGAGGAACACCGGUGGCGAAAGCGGCUCUCUGGUCUGUAACUGACGCUGAGGCUCGAAAGCGUGGGGAGCGAACAGGAUUAGAUACCCUGGUAGUCCACGCCGUAAACGAUGAGUGCUAGGUGUUGGAUCCUUUCCGGGAUUCAGUGCCGCAGCUAACGCAUUAAGCACUCCGCCUGGGGAGUACGACCGCAAGGUUGAAACUCAAAGGAAUUGACGGGGGCCCGCACAAGCGGUGGAGCAUGUGGUUUAAUUCGAAGCAACGCGAAGAACCUUACCAGGUCUUGACAUCCCGAUGCUAUUUCUAGAGAUAGAAAGUUACUUCGGUACAUCGGUGACAGGUGGUGCAUGGUUGUCGUCAGCUCGUGUCGUGAGAUGUUGGGUUAAGUCCCGCAACGAGCGCAACCCCUAUUGUUAGUUGCCAUCAUUCAGUUGGGCACUCUAGCGAGACUGCCGGUAAUAAACCGGAGGAAGGUGGGGAUGACGUCAAAUCAUCAUGCCCCUUAUGACCUGGGCUACACACGUGCUACAAUGGUUGGUACAACGAGUUGCGAGUCGGUGACGGCGAGCUAAUCUCUUAAAGCCAAUCUCAGUUCGGAUUGUAGGCUGCAACUCGCCUACAUGAAGUCGGAAUCGCUAGUAAUCGCGGAUCAGCACGCCGCGGUGAAUACGUUCCCGGGCCUUGUACACACCGCCCGUCACACCACGAGAGUUUGUAACACCCGAAGUCGGUGAGGUAACCUUUUGGAGCCAGCCGCCUAAGGUGGGACAGAUGAUUGGGGUGAAGUCGUAACAAGGUAGCCGUAUCGGAAGGUGCGGCUG